Non-coding RNA from Pelobates cultripes (western spadefoot toad), 208 nucleotides. Lineage: Eukaryota; Metazoa; Chordata; Amphibia; Anura; Pelobatidae. The record is from the annotation of a GenBank genome assembly.
AGCAGUUUCAGAGAAACUGCUAUGUUUAUUAAUGGGUUAAGCCUUCCCCCUAAUCCUCUAGUGGCUGUCUCGUUGACAGCCACUAGAGGCGCUUGCGUGCUUCUCACUGUGAUUUUCACAGUGAGAGCACGCAAGCGUCCAUAGAAAAGCAUUGUAAAUGCUUUCCUAUGCGACGGGCUGAAUGCGCGCGCAGCUCUUGCCGCGCGUG